AACAGGAUUAGAUACCCUGGUAGUCCACGCUGUAAACGAUGUCGACUUGGAGGUUGUGCCCUUGAGGCGUGGCUUCCGGAGCUAACGCGUUAAGUCGACCGCCUGGGGAGUACGGCCGCAAGGUUAAAACUCAAAUGAAUUGACGGGGGCCCGCACAAGCGGUGGAGCAUGUGGUUUAAUUCGAUGCAACGCGAAGAACCUUACCUACUCUUGACAUCCAGAGAAUUUGCUAGAGAUAGCUUAGUGCCUUCGGGAACUCUGAGACAGGUGCUGCAUGGCUGUCGUCAGCUCGUGUUGUGAAAUGUUGGGUUAAGUCCCGCAACGAGCGCAACCCUUAUCCUUUGUUGCCAGCACAUAAUGGUGGGAACUCAAAGGAGACUGCCGGUGAUAAACCGGAGGAAGGUGGGGAUGACGUCAAGUCAUCAUGGCCCUUACGAGUAGGGCUACACACGUGCUACAAUGGCAUAUACAAAGAGAAGCGAACUCGCGAGAGCAAGCGGACCUCAUAAAGUAUGUCGUAGUCCGGAUUGGAGUCUGCAACUCGACUCCAUGAAGUCGGAAUCGCUAGUAAUCGUAGAUCAGAAUGCUACGGUGAAUACGUUCCCGGGCCUUGUACACACCGCCCGUCACACCAUGGGAGUGGGUUGCAAAAGAAGUAGGUAGCUUAACCUUCGGGAGGGCGCUUACCACUUUGUGAUUCAUGACUGGGGUGAAGUCGUAACAAGGUAACC
Molecule: ribosomal RNA, 731 nt
Filed under: uncultured bacterium
Lineage: Bacteria
Description: bacterial SSU rRNA
Rfam family: Bacterial small subunit ribosomal RNA
Source: RNAcentral